RNAcentral lists this transfer RNA (69 nucleotides) under Marmota monax (woodchuck). RNAcentral describes it as "tRNA.Ala". The record is from RNAcentral. Lineage: Eukaryota; Metazoa; Chordata; Mammalia; Rodentia; Sciuridae.
GGGGCUGUAGCUUAGUGGUAGAGCACUUACCUCGCACAAAUGAGGCACUAGGUUUGAUCCUCAGCACCA